AUGCAUCCCUAAUGGUUGGAGAGAUGGAGAAUGUCAUGGGAGAGAGAACGUGCAGAUCCUUGCCUGAGACAAGUUGUGGAAAGAAAGUUUUACAGUCCAUUUUGAAUCAAGGAAGACUCAUUGAAGACUCCAUUGAGAAGAGUCUACUUUGAAGAAGGCAAACAUAUCAAAAGGGUGAUAGAAACGUGCAGUUGUGUUGUGUGGGGAACAGUGUGAACUUCCUGAAGGCAAACAAACAAAAAGGAUGGGAGAAACAUGCAGUUCUGUUGCAUGUCUAACCACUGACCUUCCUGGACUCAACAUUGGGAACUGAGAAGGGAGUUUAGAAAUGAUGGAAUUUUGUGAGCUUUAAAGAAAAAAUGCUGGUCUUUAGUGUGGACAGAUAGUUGGACUUCAGAUCUAGGAUGAUGUGUAGUCAUCAGUCUUGAACAUUCAGAAACACUUCUUUGUUCUUUAUGGAUGAUGGUAGCUGGCUUUCGUUUCAACAGUGUUUCUAAGAUGAAUACACAUAAAUAGUGUCUGCCAAAACCUAAAACAUACAGUCUGUAUUUAUUACUAGAGCGUUGUAAUGUAUCCCUCUUGUAUUUAAAAAUUUUAUACUACUCAACCUUAAUUGUGACUUUUUGUCAAUAAAUAACCUUUCAAAAGAA
Long non-coding RNA from Peromyscus eremicus (cactus mouse), 650 nucleotides. RefSeq lists it as uncharacterized. Lineage: Eukaryota; Metazoa; Chordata; Mammalia; Rodentia; Cricetidae. The transcript has 2 exons. The record is from RefSeq and is a predicted model, not a curated record.